AACAAAGAGCAAACGAAAUUAAAAUAAGGGUUUUUAAUUAUUUCUAAAAUUUUUUUAAAUUUUAUUUUAAAAAUUAAAAUUCAAAAACAAUUUUUUUGUUAGUUUAAGAGAGAUAAAGGGGACCUCUUUAAGAUUUUGCUCGGAAAGCCAAAACCCAAAGCUCCCUUGCUCCGAUUUGCAGAGAGAAUCCAAAGGACAAACAAGCAGCCUAUAGAGAAACAGAAACCCAAAAAAAGGAAAGCUCAAACGCAGAAACAACAACAACAACAACAAGCGAAGAACAGAAACAGCAAAUCCAAAGGAACAAAAAAAAAAAAAACACAAAACAAAACAAAACAAAAAGAAAAAAAAAAGAGAGAGAUAGUGUCUUAAUUUUUGACAGAAACGAAAAGAAAUUCAAUUCCAUUUCUUCUUAUCCAAUCAGUUGAAUUCGUUAAUUUUGACUGCGUUUUUUUCGUCGGGACAAAAAAAAAAAAACUUGAGGUUGGUACAGUGAUUUGAAAUUUCCCGUUGUUGCUUGGGGAAUUUUCGGGAGGGGGCAAGAGAGUCAUGUUAGAGAACCGGCCUUGCGAGUCGUAUUUGGUGAUCGCAAGCUCUUGUCCACGAGGAACCAAGUGGCCUUACAUGUACAAUGGGAAGCGUCCGGGGGAAUUCGACGAAUCCGAUGGUUGUUGUCGGGAAACCAAGUUGUCUAAGUUUUCUUCCGAUGAUUCCUCCAGCGACGAUAAUAAUAAUACUAAUACUACUUCUUCCCCACGAGACUCACGUGACGUCCUCUUGCCUGAUUCACGUGACCAAUCCGACGAUGAUAGUAAGUUAUCUGAUUCUUCUUCGGAUUUGGAUUCUUCACUUAUCCACCGCCACUCCAUUGGGCUAGACAAAACGGAUUUGAAUAACCAAUCAGACGAUGACAGCCUGUCGGAUUCUGUGGAGGACUUGCUGGAGGAACAAUCCGAGGAAGAUGAUGAUGAUAAUGGCUUUUUGGAUUCUCCUGAGGCGGAGGAGAAGGAGGAUGAGGAGGAGGGGAAUGAGGAUGGCUACCGGAAACAUGCUGGGGAUUCAUCAUCCAAUUUGGAUGCGUUAAUCCAACCAAUUGGGAGAGACAACUCCAUCAGUUGUCUGAUUAGGUGCUCAAGGUCUGAUUAUGGUUCCAUUGCCCUGUUGAACCGAAGUUUUCGUUCCUUAAUUAGGAGCGGAGAGAUCUAUAAGUUGAGGAGGCAGAAUGGUGUGGUUGAACAUUGGGUUUACUUUUCAUGUCUCCUCCUUCAAUGGGAGGCAUUUGAUCCAAUUCGACACAGGUGGAUGAGUUUGCCAAGGAUGCCUCCCAAUGAAUGUUUCAUUUUUUCGGAUAAGGAAUCCUUGGCUGUGGGAACUGAGUUGCUUGUGUUUGGGAAGGAGGUGACUUCUCAGGUUAUAUAUAGAUACAGUAUUUUGACAAAUUCAUGGACUUCUGGGACCAGUAUGAAUGCUCCGAGGUGCUUGUUUGGGUCAGCUAGUCUUGGAGAGAUUGCGAUUUUAGCUGGUGGUUGUGAUUCUCAGGGUAAUAUCCUGAGCUCUGCAGAAAUGUACAAUUCUGAGACACAGAGGUGGGAGACUCUCCCAAGCAUGAAUAAGCCAAGGAAGAUGUGUAGUGGGGUAUUUAUGGAUAAGAAAUUUUAUGUGAUUGGGGGAACUACUGGAGUGGGGAAUGAUACAAGGGUACUCACUUGUGGUGAGGAGUAUGAUUUAGAGACAAAAAAAUGGACUGAAAUUCCUAACAUGUCUCCUGGAAGGAAUGAAGCAGCCGGUGAGGCUGAGGUGCCUGCGGCAGCUGGGGCACCCCCUCUGGUUGCAGUAGUAAAUAAUGAAUUGUAUGCUGCUGAUCAUGCUGACAUGGAGGUAAAGAAGUAUGAUAAAGUUAGAAACUCAUGGUUGACUAUUGGAAGAUUGCCUGAAAGAGCAGUUUCAAUGAAUGGUUGGGGUCUUGCAUUCAGAGCAUGUGGAGAUCGCCUUAUAGUGAUUGGUGGACCUAGGAAUUCGGGUGAAGGUUUUAUAGAGCUCAAUUCUUGGGUUCCAAGCGAAGGGCCUCCACAAUGGAACUUGCUUGACAGAAAGCAAUCGGGUAACUUUGUGUAUAAUUGUGCUGUGAUGGGAUGCUAAGAGAUGGAUUUUCGUAGCAUCGUGUGCAGUGGAAUGGUGAUGCACUGCCACUGGGGUUUACAUGAUUGGUUUCUCCCCCAACACAUAAUUCUGAAUUCUUGCUAAUGUCGAUGAUGCAACAAAUUUCCGGUUUCGGUUCAUUUGAGAGCUCGAUUGAAAGACUCAUAUCGUAUCGAAAAUGGAGGUUGUGAAUCAGUGGCUAGAAUGAAUUCCUUGAGUUUUUUUUAACAAUUUACCCAACCUCAUUUUCUAUUUUUAUCUAGUUUUGAACUGUAUUGUUACUGCAGCCCCUUGGUUCAUACUGGCAAGUUUGACUCCUGGCUGAACUUACCAUGGACCAUGUGGGCUCGUAAUCUUUGAUUGGCUCAUGAUCAUGAAGCAGUUGUCCUGCCUCCAGGAGUUAGGCCUACCAUUAGCUUUUCAUUAAUUGUUUCUGGUAGAUCAUGUAAAUUUUGCCGUGCACAAAAUCAGAUGAACAACCCCCCCCCCAAAGUACUGUACUACUGUUCUGAGCAUAUCAACAGUGAAUAUGAUUCAAAUUAUGCAUGAGGUAACUUUGUCUUGUAGUGGAACAAGUAAACACCACAAAAAUUUGGGUACGCACGUGUUUGAAUUGAUGGUACAAUGCUUAAAAAUUUUCACCCAAGAAUCUCUUUCAAUUUAAACACUUAUUUAAAGACUUU
Non-coding RNA from Durio zibethinus, 2822 nucleotides. NCBI's taxonomy places the organism in Eukaryota, Viridiplantae, Streptophyta, Magnoliopsida, Malvales, Malvaceae. The record is from RefSeq and is a predicted model, not a curated record.